This 79-nucleotide unclassified non-coding RNA is filed under the name Halpernia frigidisoli. RNAcentral describes it as "Chryseobacterium frigidisoli Flavo-1 RNA". Lineage: Bacteria; Pseudomonadati; Bacteroidota; Flavobacteriia; Flavobacteriales; Weeksellaceae. The record is from RNAcentral.
UUUGCGCCCCGGCUUGAACGGAGCUCUUUUUGUGAAGCGAAGCGGAACAAAAAAGCGGGAGUGGAAGACGGAUAAAGGC